CCAAUAGCAUAUAUUAAGGUUGCUGCGGUUAAAAAGCUCGUAGUUGAAUUUCGGGAUUGAUGCAUCGGUCGUGCCUUAAAGGGUAUGAACUGGUGUGGUCAAUUUCUUACCUUCUGGUGAAUUGUGAUGUCCUCCUUAAUUGGGUGUUUCAAUGAACUAGGACUUUUUACUUUGAAAAAAUUAGAGUGUUUAAAGCAGGC
RNAcentral lists this ribosomal RNA (200 nucleotides) under uncultured Glomus. RNAcentral describes it as "partial small subunit ribosomal RNA". It matches the Rfam family "Eukaryotic small subunit ribosomal RNA", at positions 591 to 785 of the family's 1831-position model. Lineage: Eukaryota; Fungi; Glomeromycota; Glomeromycetes; Glomerales; Glomeraceae. The record is from RNAcentral.